UUGACAGUCUCAGAGAUCAAAGUCCUCGUUUUAUCAACUGAGCAGAUAUAGCACAGAGUAAAAUAUUUUCCAUCCACCCAAAUCACUGCUCUAGAGAUUUUGCCUGUAAAGGAUGAGAGGAUUUUUCAAGCUCUUUGCCUUUUUCUUUCUCUUGAGAGA
This is an unclassified non-coding RNA of Ictidomys tridecemlineatus (thirteen-lined ground squirrel), 159 nucleotides long. NCBI's taxonomy places the organism in Eukaryota, Metazoa, Chordata, Mammalia, Rodentia, Sciuridae. The record is from Ensembl.